UUACGGCCACAUCACGUUGAAACACAGGUUCCUGUAUGAUCACUGAAGUUAAGCAACGUCGAGCUUGGUCAGUACUUAGAUGAGUGACCGCUUGUAAG
This is a non-coding RNA of Acanthosepion pharaonis, 98 nucleotides long. NCBI's taxonomy places the organism in Eukaryota, Metazoa, Mollusca, Cephalopoda, Sepiida, Sepiidae. The record is from the annotation of a GenBank genome assembly.